Molecule: long non-coding RNA, 159 nt
Organism: Tachyglossus aculeatus (Australian echidna)
Lineage: Eukaryota; Metazoa; Chordata; Mammalia; Monotremata; Tachyglossidae
Exons: 3
Source: RefSeq, a predicted model, not a curated record
GCAGACCGGCGGCGGGGUGACUCCUGUUUCUUCGGGGGCGACGGCCAAUGUCCCGCUGAUUAACUUGUCGGCCUUGUGGAGGGGCAUCGCCAACAUCAAACCGUGAGCAGGGGGCCAUGGCCGUGGCUAGGGCCGUGGCCGAAGUCCUGGUUCCCAGAG